AUGUGGUUUAAUUUGAAGCAACGCGAAGAACCUUACCAGGUCUUGACAUCCUCUGAAAACCCUAGAGAUAGGGCUUCUCCUUCGGGAGCAGAGUGACAGGUGGUGCAUGGUUGUCGUCAGCUCGUGUCGUGAGAUGUUGGGUUAAGUCCCGCAACGAGCGCAACCCUUGAUCUUAGUUGCCAUCAUUAAGUUGGGCACUCUAAGGUGACUGCCGGUGACAAACCGGAGGAAGGUGGGGAUGACGUCAAAUCAUCAUGCCCCUUAUGACCUGGGCUACACACGUGCUACAAUGGACGGUACAAAGAGCUGCAAGACCGCGAGGUGGAGCUAAUCUCAUAAAACCGUUCUCAGUUCGGAUUGUAGGCUGCAACUCGCCUACAUGAAGCUGGAAUCGCUAGUAAUCGCGGAUCAGCAUGCCGCUGGUGGAAAAUUAACCGA
This 438-nucleotide ribosomal RNA is filed under the name Bacillus cereus. Its description in RNAcentral is "bacterial SSU rRNA". It matches the Rfam family "Bacterial small subunit ribosomal RNA", at positions 939 to 1376 of the family's 1533-position model. Lineage: Bacteria; Bacillati; Bacillota; Bacilli; Caryophanales; Bacillaceae. The record is from RNAcentral.